This 433-nucleotide ribosomal RNA is filed under the name uncultured bacterium. RNAcentral describes it as "partial 16S ribosomal RNA". It matches the Rfam family "Bacterial small subunit ribosomal RNA", at positions 29 to 507 of the family's 1533-position model. The record is from RNAcentral.
AACGAACGCUGGCGGCAUGCCUAACACAUGCAAGUCGAACGAGACCUUCGGGUCUAGUGGCGCACGGGUGCGUAACGCGUGGGAACCUGCCCUUAGGUUCGGAAUAACUCCCCGAAAGGGGUGCUAAUACCGGAUAAUGUCUUCGGACCAAAGAUUUAUCGCCUUUGGAUGGGCCCGCGUUGGAUUAGCUAGUUGGUAGGGUAAAAGCCUACCAAGGCGACGAUCCAUAGCUGGUCUGAGAGGAUGAUCAGCCACACUGGGAAUGAGACACGGCCCAGACUCCUACGGGAGGCAGCAGUGGGGAAUAUUGGACAAUGGGCGAAAGCCUGAUCCAGCAAUGCCGCGUAAGUGAUGAAGGCCUUAGGGUUGUAAAGCUCUUUUACCCGGGAUGAUAAUGACAGUACCGGGAGAAUAAGCUCCGGCUAACUCCGUG